This 84-nucleotide ribosomal RNA is filed under the name Fusarium sp. JHR101-16. RNAcentral's name for it is "5.8S ribosomal RNA". Lineage: Eukaryota; Fungi; Ascomycota; Sordariomycetes; Hypocreales; Nectriaceae. The record is from RNAcentral.
UCAGCUUGGUGUUGGGACUCGCGGUAACCCGCGUUCCCCAAAUCGAUUGGCGGUCACGUCGAGCUUCCAUAGCGUAGUAAUCAU